RNAcentral lists this ribosomal RNA (1329 nucleotides) under uncultured bacterium. Its description in RNAcentral is "bacterial SSU rRNA". It matches the Rfam family "Bacterial small subunit ribosomal RNA", at positions 1 to 1377 of the family's 1533-position model. The record is from RNAcentral.
AUUCGAUUAGAGUUUGAUCAUGGCUCAGGAUGAACGCUGGCGGCGUGCUUAACACAUGCAAGUCGAACGAACCUUCGGGUUAGUUGCGGACGGGUGAGUAACGCGUGAGAAUCUGCCCUCAGGAGGGGGAUAACGGUUGGAAACGACCGCUAAUACCCCAUAUGCCGCGAGGUGAAAUGAAUUUCGCCUGAGGAUGAGCUCGCGUCUGAUUAGCUAGUUGGUGGGGUAAAGGCCUACCAAGGCAUCGAUCAGUAGCUGGUCUGAGAGGAUGAUCAGCCACACUGGGACUGAGACACGGCCCAGACUCCUACGGGAGGCAGCAGUGGGGAAUUUUCCGCAAUGGGCGAAAGCCUGACGGAGCAACGCCGCGUGAGGGAUGAAGGCCUCUGGGCUGUAAACCUCUUUUAUCAAGGAAGAAGAUCUGACGGUACUUGAUGAAUAAGCCACGGCUAAUUCCGUGCCAGCAGCCGCGGUAAUACGGGAGUGGCAAGCGUUAUCCGGAAUUAUUGGGCGUAAAGCGUCCGCAGGCGGCCCUUCAAGUCUGCUGUUAAAAAGUGGAGCUUAACUCCAUCAUGGCAGUGGAAACUGUUGGGCUUGAGUGUGGUAGGGGCAGAGGGAAUUCCCGGUGUAGCGGUGAAAUGCGUAGAUAUCGGGAAGAACACCAGUGGCGAAGGCGCUCUGCUGGGCCAUCACUGACGCUCAUGGACGAAAGCCAGGGGAGCGAAAGGGAUUAGAUACCCCUGUAGUCCUGGCCGUAAACGAUGAACACUAGGUGUCGGGGGAAUCGACCCCCUCGGUGUCGUAGCCAACGCGUUAAGUGUUCCGCCUGGGGAGUACGCACGCAAGUGUGAAACUCAAAGGAAUUGACGGGGGCCCGCACAAGCGGUGGAGUAUGUGGUUUAAUUCGAUGCAACGCGAAGAACCUUACCAGGGUUUGACAUCCUGUGAAUCUCUUGGAAACGAGAGAGUGCCUUUGGGAACGCAGUGACAGGUGGUGCAUGGCUGUCGUCAGCUCGUGUCGUGAGAUGUUGGGUUAAGUCCCGCAACGAGCGCAACCCACGUCUUUAGUUGCCAGCAUUUAGUUGGGCACUCUAGAGAGACCGCCGGUGAUAAACCGGAGGAAGGUGUGGAUGACGUCAAGUCAUCAUGCCCCUUACAUCCUGGGCUACACACGUACUACAAUGCUACGGACAAAGGGCAGCAAGUUCGCGAGGACAAGCAAAUCCCAUAAACCGUGGCUCAGUUCAGAUCGUAGGCUGCAACUCGCCUACGUGAAGGAGGAAUCGCUAGUAAUCGCAGGUCAGCAUACUGCGGUGAAUACGUUCCCGG